UGUUAUUUAGAUUUAUUUUCUAAAUUGUUCAAUUGUCAAUUGGGAGAAGCCUUAGGGGGUAAUAACAU
RNAcentral lists this transfer RNA (68 nucleotides) under Coloceras sp. SLC-2005. RNAcentral describes it as "tRNA-Asp". The record is from RNAcentral. RNAcentral also lists the same sequence under 1 other name. Lineage: Eukaryota; Metazoa; Arthropoda; Insecta; Psocodea; Philopteridae.